This is a long non-coding RNA of Sinocyclocheilus rhinocerous, 195 nucleotides long. RefSeq lists it as uncharacterized. The transcript has 3 exons. Lineage: Eukaryota; Metazoa; Chordata; Actinopteri; Cypriniformes; Cyprinidae. The record is from RefSeq and is a predicted model, not a curated record.
GAGAGUCACUAAUAAGGGAUGUGUUUGAACAGAAGCAGAGCUCUGGGACGUGUGGACAGACUUUCACUGUAAUGAUGGACAUCCGCUGAUGUACAGAAGUAUAACCCCUGCUGGACAUCGUGCCGGGGCUCGGGGGGCGGACCCGAAUCAUCCCCACUCCUUCAUUCACACAACACUCACAUCGCAGAGAUCUGG